RNAcentral lists this long non-coding RNA (698 nucleotides) under Salmo salar (Atlantic salmon). Its description in RNAcentral is "lncRNA (ENSSSAG00000100503.1)". The record is from RNAcentral. Lineage: Eukaryota; Metazoa; Chordata; Actinopteri; Salmoniformes; Salmonidae.
CUUGAAGUUAGCGCGGGCAAUUUUUUGUUGUUGUUGUCAACAACGUCUUCGUUUUGCUAACGUUAGAGGUCUUGUAAACAUUGAUAUAUAUAUUUUUUUCUUCUCACGAACUAAGGAUACGUGUCUAACUGUAUCAUAUGUGUCAACUUGAUUGCAAGUUUAGUUUCAGCGUGCAAAUAAUAACACUCCUUUUUCAAUAAUUGGGAGAAAUGGCGGAAGGGCUGUGCUACGCUAGCUAGACCGAUUUAUUAUCAAGCGGGCUAAAUACGUUUGGCUGAGUCUACACGGACAGAAAUGGACUCCAAAUACCCAAAUCUGGCGAGACCUCAGAAGAAGCUCCGGUACUUCUCCAGUAAAGCGAGGAAGGAAUUUUGAACGACAGUCAAGUGAUGAACAGCUGUGGUGAUGCGAUGCAAUAGCCAACGUGCUGGAAAAUAGGUGUUGGCGAGGAAUGUCCAGAAUAUACUAUUUUGGUUCCUCAUUCGUUAUGCCGGUGAAGACCGUCGUGCCUGGACCCAUGUCGGAUCUAAUAUCCCUAGCAAGUUGACCAUAUGUCGUCUGAUUGAUUUACAGUAGGGUCUCGUUAGAUUUAACAGAGAAAGCAUCAAGGUAAUGAGUUUUUGUUUUUGUGCCUCCCUGGUUGGACACUGAGUCUACUGUGUGCAAUUGUGUAGGAUUGAGUAUUGCGCAACUCCCAG